This 530-nucleotide ribosomal RNA is filed under the name Elachistocleis muiraquitan. Its description in RNAcentral is "partial large subunit ribosomal RNA". It matches the Rfam family "Bacterial large subunit ribosomal RNA", at positions 1817 to 2579 of the family's 2925-position model. The record is from RNAcentral. Lineage: Eukaryota; Metazoa; Chordata; Amphibia; Anura; Microhylidae.
CGCCUUCUGCAGAAAAUAGAAGGUCUAGCCUGCCCAGUGACCAAGUUAAACGGCCGCGGUACCCUAACCGUGCGAAGGUAGCGCAAUCACUUGUUCUUUAAAUGAGGACUAGUAUGAACGGCAUCACGAGGGUUACACUGUCUCCCACCUCUAAUCAGUGAAACUGAUUCCCCCGUGAAGAAGCGGGGAUAAACUUAUAAGACGAGAAGACCCCAUGGAGCUUUAAACUCAGUACCAAUCACCUAUUACUACACCACAAUAACCCGGUGGUUCUGACUACUGGUUUUAGGUUGGGGUGACCACGGAGCAUAAUAAAACCUCCAUGUUGAAAAACUUCCUUAAUCCAAGAGUGACAACUCUAAGAAUCAAAAAUUGACAUACAUUGACCCAAAUAUUUUGAUCAACGAACCAAGUUACCCUGGGGAUAACAGCGCAAUCCAUUUCAAGAGCUCCUAUCGACAAAUGGGUUUACGACCUCGAUGUUGGAUCAGGGUAUCCCAGUGGUGCAGCCGCUACUAAAGGUUCGUUUG